RNAcentral lists this ribosomal RNA (468 nucleotides) under uncultured bacterium. RNAcentral describes it as "partial 16S ribosomal RNA". It matches the Rfam family "Bacterial small subunit ribosomal RNA", at positions 28 to 507 of the family's 1533-position model. The record is from RNAcentral.
GACGAACGCUGGCGGCGUGCUUAACACAUGCAAGUCUAACGGCAAGGCCCUGCUUUUGUGGCGUGCUCGUGUGGCGCACGUGUGCGUCACACGUUAUUAACCUGCCCUUGCCUUUGGGAUAACUUCAUGAAACUGCGUCUAAUCCCGGCUUGGAGCUCCUGCUGCAUGGUGCGGGUUGGCACGUUUCGGCGGUUGGGGAUGGACUCGCGGCUUAUCAGCUUGUUGGUGGGGUAGUGGCUUACCAAGGCUUGGACGGGUAGCCGGCCUGAGAGGGUGACCGGCGAGAGUGGGACUGAGAUACGGCGCAGACUACUACGGGAGGAAGCAGUGGGGAAUAUUGAAGAAUGGGCGGAAGCCGGAUGCAGGAAGGCGGCGUGCGGGAUGAUGGAAUUCGGGGUGGAAACCGAUGAAGGCUGGGACGAAGCGCGAGUGACGGUAAUGGGUAAAGAAGCACCGGCUAACUACGUG